RNAcentral lists this transfer RNA (74 nucleotides) under Bolma rugosa. Its description in RNAcentral is "tRNA-Pro". Lineage: Eukaryota; Metazoa; Mollusca; Gastropoda; Trochida; Turbinidae. The record is from RNAcentral.
CAAGAUAGUAGUUUAAUAAAAUAAAAUAUUGGCAUUGGAAGCCAAAGAUUAGGUGGAGUAGUCCUACUUCUUGA